This 2478-nucleotide ribosomal RNA is filed under the name human gut metagenome. RNAcentral's name for it is "bacterial LSU rRNA". It matches the Rfam family "Bacterial large subunit ribosomal RNA", at positions 3 to 2572 of the family's 2925-position model. The record is from RNAcentral.
UCAAGCUACAAAGAGCACAAGGGGAAUGCCUUGGCACCGAGAGCCGAAGAAGGACGUGACUAACUGCGAUAAGCUGCGGGGAGCCGUAAGUAGGCUUUGAUCCGCAGAUUUCCGAAUGGAGCAAUCCGGCAAGAGGAAAGUCUUGUCAUCAUAUACUGAAUACAUAGGUAUAUGAGGGGAACCGCCUGAACUGAAACAUCUAAGUAGGGCGAGGAAGAGAAAUCAACUGAGAUUCCGUAAGUAGUGGCGAGCGAACGCGGAAGAGGCCAAACCGAGAGUAGUAAUACUUUCGGGGUUCGGACAGAAAACGGUAUUGUAAAGGUUUAGUGGAAUGGAAUGGGAAGUCCAACCGAAGAAGGUGAGAGUCCUGUACACGAAAAGCCUGAACAGCCAUCUGUAUCCAGAGUACCGCCGGACACGUGAAACCCGGUGGGAAUACGGGGGGACCAUCCUCCAAGCCUAAAUACUACUCGGUGACCGAUAGUGAAGAAGUACUGUGAAGGAAAGGUGAAAAGUACCCCUGACGGGGAGUGAAAAAGAACCUGAAACCUUGUGUUUACAAGCACCGAAAGCUCAUCAAAGAGCGAUCGGGUACCUUUUGUAGAAUGGUCCGGCGAGUGAAUGUAACCGGCGAGGUUAAGCACUUAAGGUGUGAAGCCGCAGCGAGAGCAAGUCUGAAUAGGGCGUAUGAAGUCGGUUGUAUUCGACCCGAAACCGGGUGACCUACCCAUGGUCAGGUUGAAGUAAAGGUAAAACUUUAUGGAGGACCGAACCGACUCCCGUUGAAAUGGUAGCGGAUGAACUGUGGGUAGCGGAGAAAUUCCAAUCGAACCCGGAGAUAGCUGGUUCUCCCCGAAAUAGUUUUAGGACUAGCCUCAAGUUAGAUACCUGGAGGUAAAGCACUGAAUAGCCUAGCGGCCGAGAGGUUAGCGAAGCUUAUCAAACUCAGAAUGCCAGAGUAUUGAUGCUUGGGAGUCAGACAGUGUCAGAUAAAUGUCAUUGUCAAAAGGGAAACAGCCCAGAUCUACAGCUAAGGUCCCAAAGUCAGGUUAAGUGGAAAACGAUGUGAAGAUACGCAGACAACCAGGAUGUUGGCUCAGAAGCAGCCACUCAUUCAAAGAGUGCGUAAUAGCUCACUGGUCGAGCGUCUUUGCGCGGAGAAUUUAACGGGGCUAAACCUGACACCGAAGCUUAGGCAAUGCACGUAAGUGUAUUGGGUAGGGGAGCGUUGUAUACGCGGAGAAACAGUAGCGCAAGCGGCUGUGGAGUGUAUAGAAGUGAGAAUGCCGGAAUGAGUAGCGCGAAUGCAGUGAGAAUCUGCAUGGCCGAAAGCCUCAGGUUUUUGGAGGAAGGUUCGUCCGCUCCAAGUUAGGCGGGAGCUAAGGUGAGGCCGAAAGGCGUAGCCGAUGCACAGACGGUAGAGAUUCCGUCACCACCAAAAGAGUUAAGCACAGGGACACAUAUGAAGUCUCAGAGCCGGGUGUUGGUUCCGGUAGAGAUCGAGGGAAGUUAGUACCGAAGUCUGGGAUGGAAGAUGGCGAGAAAAGCUGUGUGUAUUUCUGAGGUGCCCGUACCGCAAACCGACACAGGUAGGUAGGAAGAAGAUUCUAAGGCCAACGGGAGAAGGGUUGUUAAGGAACUCGGCAAAUUGACCCCGUAACUUCGGGAGAAGGGGUGCUCCAGAGAUGGAGCCGCAGAGAAUCGGCCCAAGCAACUGUUUACCAAAAACACAGGUUUGUGCUAAAUCGAAAGAUGACGUAUACGAGCUGACGCCUGCCCGGUGCUGGAAGGUUAAGAGGAGAUGUGCAAGCAUUGAAUCGAAGCCCCAGUGAACGGCGGCCGUAACUAUAACGGUCCUAAGGUAGCGAAAUUCCUUGUCAGGUAAGUUCUGACCCGCACGAAAGGUGUAACGAUUUGGGCGCUGUCUCGGCAGCAGACUCGGUGAAAUCUUAGUACCUGUGAAAAUGCAGGUUACCCGCAACUAGACGGAAAGACCCCAUGGAGCUUUACUGCAGCCUGAUAUUGAAUUCUGGUCAUACAUGUACAGGAUAGGUGGGAGACAAAGAGACGUGCACGCCAGUGUACGAGGAGUCGACGUUGGGAUACCACUCUUGUGUGACCGGGGUUCUAACCUGGUAUCGAGAACAGGUACGGGGAGAGUGUCAGGUGGGCAGUUUGACUGGGGCGGUCGCCUCCCAAAGAGUAACGGAGGCGCCCAAAGGUACGCUCAGAUUGGAUGGAAACCAAUCGUCGAGUGCAAUUGCAGAAGCGUGCUUGACUGUGAGACAGACAAGUCGAACAGGGACGAAAGUCGGGAAUAGUGAUCCGGCGGUGCCGAAUGGAAGGGCCGUCGCUCAACGGAUAAAAGCUACCCUGGGGAUAACAGGCUGAUCUCGCCCAAGAGUUCACAUCGACGGCGAGGUUUGGCACCUCGAUGUCGGCUCAUCGCAUCCUGGAGCUGGAUUCGGUUCCAAGGGU